ACCCCCGUGAGGAUGCCUUUCCCUGCCCCCCCCGGCAAAAAGGAGCUGGUAUCAGGCACGACAGUUAGUCAGCCCACGACACCUUGCUUAGCCACGCCCCCAAGGGUCUUCAGCAGUAAUAAACCUUAAGCAAUAAGUGAAAACUUGACUUAGUUAGUAUCAAGCAGGGCCGGUCAAACUCGUGCCAGCCGCCGCGGUUAUACGAGUAGGCCCAAGUGGAUAGAAUUCGGCGUAAAGAGUGGUUAAUAGAACAACAAACUAAAGCCGAACGCCCUCAGAGCAGUUAUACGCUUACGAACGGACGAAGCCCCACAACGAAAGUGGCUUUAAACACUAUUGAACCCACGAAAGCUAGGAAACAAACUGGGAUUAGAUACCCCACUAUGCCUAGCCCUAAACACAAAUGCCCUUGUACUACAAACAUUCGCCGGGGAACUACGGGCGCGAGCUUAAAACCCAAAGGAUUUGGCGGUGCUUUAGACCCCCCUAGAGGAGCCUGUCAUAGAACCGAUACUCCCCGUUAAACCUCACCCUCUCUUGUUCUUCCCGCCUAUAUACCGCCGUCGUCAGCUUACCUUUUGAAAGACCAGUAGUAAGCGCAAUUGGCACAGCCCAAAACGUCAGGUCGAGGUGUAGCGUAUGAGAGGGGAAGAGAUGGGCUACAUUUACUGCCUCAGUACACACGGAAGAUGACCUGAAAUUCCAUCUGAAGGAGGAUUUAGCAGUAAGGGGGAAAUAGAGUGUCCCCCUGAAGACGGCCCUGAAGCGUGCACAUACCGCCCGUCAUUCUCCCCGAUACCCUGAAAAAGCAAUACAUAAUAAGACAGUCACUAAAAGAGGGGAGGCAAGUCGUAACAUGGUAAGUGUACCGGAAGGUGCACUUGGAUCAACCCU
This 894-nucleotide non-coding RNA is filed under the name Bathygobius cocosensis (Cocos frill goby). RNAcentral's name for it is "partial 12S rRNA". It matches the Rfam family "Bacterial small subunit ribosomal RNA". Lineage: Eukaryota; Metazoa; Chordata; Actinopteri; Gobiiformes; Gobiidae. The record is from RNAcentral.